This is a long non-coding RNA of Humulus lupulus (European hop), 562 nucleotides long. RefSeq lists it as uncharacterized. NCBI's taxonomy places the organism in Eukaryota, Viridiplantae, Streptophyta, Magnoliopsida, Rosales, Cannabaceae. The transcript is spliced from 3 exons. The record is from RefSeq and is a predicted model, not a curated record.
UAAAACAUAACACUACAACAAAAACUCAUUUCCAUAACACAAAAAUUUAACACUUUUAAAAAAGUAUUAUAAUAUAUAUAAGUGUAUAUGUAUAUAGGCGGGACUUAUUGCAAUUUGGCGCCUAAUUUUCCCCAGCCCCCCAAAAUUUUUCACACGGUCCCAAUUGACCAAAAAAAAGAAGAAGAAAAAAACCCAUUUUCACACGGUCCCAAUCGGUCCCCGAUUCCUCUCUCUCUCUCUCUUGUUUCUCUGUGUUUACCCCCUCUCUCUCUCUCUUCGUUUCUCGACCAAUCGGCCCAAGAGGAGGACGAUUAAGCUUACCCAGGAUCUGUUGUCAUGCCACCUCAAGUACACAAUCAAGGGAAAUCACUUAUAAUGCCAUUGUCAUCUAAUCAGGGCCAAACUCGACAACAACUACUAUCUCAGAAUGUUCAGAAUUUUGCUGUAGUUAUAUCAACCACAGAGACCUUCUCUAGAGACAUCAUCAACAUCUGUCGAUUCAGCUGCAACUGGACAUGCGAGUGGAGUUUAUUGGCAAGAAGAGGUUUACCAGAAGGUAAUA